GAUGAACGCUGGCGGCGUGCCUAAUACAUGCAAGUCGAGCGAAUGGAUUGAGAGCUUGCUCUUAUGAAGUUAGCGGCGGACGGGUGAGUAACACGUGGGUAACCUACCCAUAAGACUGGGAUAACUCCGGGAAACCGGGGCUAAUACCGGAUAACAUUUUGAACCGCAUGGUUCGAAAUUGAAAGGCGGCUUCGGCUGUCACUUAUGGAUCGACCCGCGUCGCAUUGGCUAGUUGGUGAGGUAACGGCUCACCAAGGCAACGAUGCGUAGCCGACCUGAGAGGGUGAUCGGCCACACUGGGACUGAGACACGGCCCAGACUCCUACGGGAGGCAGCAGUAGGGAAUCUUCCGCAAUGGACGAAAGUCUGACGGAGCAACGCCGCGUGAGUGAUGAAGGCUUUCGGGUCGUAAAACUCUGUUGUUAGGGAAGAACAAGUGCUAGUUGAAUAAGCUGGCACCUUGACGGUACCUAACCAGAAAGCCACGGCUAACUACGUGCCAGCCGCCGCAGUAA
Molecule: ribosomal RNA, 515 nt
Filed under: uncultured bacterium
Lineage: Bacteria
Description: partial 16S ribosomal RNA
Rfam family: Bacterial small subunit ribosomal RNA
Source: RNAcentral